GGCCUGGCGUUUGGUCUUGCUGUGGUUUGCAGUCCUUGGGUCGUCUGGCAUAAACCCAUCUUUUGCUGUGGAAAAACCAUGUCUUUGUACUUCCCAAGCCCUUGUGAAAAGGGGAAACCUCUUCUUUUGAUUAUGGCCUUUCAGAAACAGCCUCAUUGUGAUCCUGGGACAAGGAACUCUGGAACACAGAAUCGACUGUUGACACCUGAUUUCUAUUUGGCAGAUGACCAGAUAGAAUCAGCAUUAACAACGUGCAGAAAAUGCCAAACGCGGAGGAAAUGACAAAUGUGCCAGAUGAUUUAAUAUCGAGC
Canis lupus familiaris (dog) is the source of this 311-nucleotide long non-coding RNA. RefSeq lists it as uncharacterized. The record is from RefSeq and is a predicted model, not a curated record. Lineage: Eukaryota; Metazoa; Chordata; Mammalia; Carnivora; Canidae. The transcript has 3 exons.